This 478-nucleotide ribosomal RNA is filed under the name uncultured bacterium. RNAcentral describes it as "bacterial SSU rRNA". It matches the Rfam family "Bacterial small subunit ribosomal RNA", at positions 28 to 507 of the family's 1533-position model. The record is from RNAcentral.
GACGAACGCUGGCGGCGUGCUUAACACAUGCAAGUCGAACGGAAAGGCCCCUUCGGGGGUACUCGAGUGGCGAACGGGUGAGUAACACGUGGGUGAUCUGCCCCAAACUUUGGGAUAAGCCUGGGAAACUGGGUCUAAUACCGGAUAUGACCAUGGGAUGCAUGUCUUGUGGUGGAAAGCUUUUGCGGUUUGGGAUGGGCCCGCGGCCUAUCAGCUUGUUGGUGGGGUAAUGGCCUACCAAGGCGACGACGGGUAGCCGACCUGAGAGGGUGAUCGGCCACACUGGGACUGAGACACGGACCCGACUCCUACGGGAGGCAGCAGUAAGGAAUAUUGGUCAAUGGAGGGAACUCUGAACCAGCCAUCCCGCGUGAAGGAUGAAGGGGCUCUGCCUUGUAAACUUCUUUUGCAUGGGACGAAAAACUUAAUUUAUUAAGGACUGACGGUACCAUGAGAAUAAGCACCGGCUAACUCCGUG